RNAcentral lists this ribosomal RNA (253 nucleotides) under uncultured bacterium. Its description in RNAcentral is "partial 16S ribosomal RNA". It matches the Rfam family "Bacterial small subunit ribosomal RNA", at positions 524 to 776 of the family's 1533-position model. The record is from RNAcentral.
UACGGGGGGGGUAAGCGUUGUUCGGAAUUACUGGGCGUAAAGGGCUCGUAGGCGGCCAACUAAGUCAGACGUGAAAUCCCUCAGCUUAACUGGGGAACUGCGUGUGAUACUGGAUGGCUUGGAUUUGGGAGAGGGAUGCGGAAUUCCAGGUGUAGCGGUGAAAUGCGUAGAUAUCUGGAGGAACACCGGUGGCGAAGGCGGCAUCCUGGACCGAGAUUGACGCUGAGGCGCGAAAGCCAGGGGAGCAAACGGG